GUGCUUUCCUUGGCAGCUCCUGUACUGUAAUUGGAACUACACAGAGAUCAGCAUGGCCCCUGCUCAAGGAUGACAUAAAAAUUUGUGAAACCUUCCAUAAUUUU
This is a small nuclear RNA of Microtus ochrogaster (prairie vole), 104 nucleotides long. NCBI's taxonomy places the organism in Eukaryota, Metazoa, Chordata, Mammalia, Rodentia, Cricetidae. The record is from Ensembl.